RNAcentral lists this ribosomal RNA (440 nucleotides) under uncultured bacterium. RNAcentral describes it as "partial 16S ribosomal RNA". It matches the Rfam family "Bacterial small subunit ribosomal RNA", at positions 339 to 795 of the family's 1533-position model. The record is from RNAcentral.
CUACGGGGCGCUGCAGUGAGGAAUAUUGCACAAUGGGGGAAACCCUGAUGCAGCAACGCCGCGUGGAGGAUGACGCAUUUCGGUGUGUAAACUCCUUUUAUGAGUCAAGAAAAUGACGGUAGCUCAUGAAUAAGCACCGGCUAACUCCGUGCCAGCGAGCCGCGGUAAUACGGAGGGUGCAAGCGUUACUCGGAAUCACUGGGCGUAAAGGACGCGUAGGCGGGAUGUCAAGUCAGGUGUGAAAUCCUAUGGCUCAACCAUAGAACUGCACUUGAAACUGGCAACCUAGAGUAUGGGAGGGGGAGAUGGAAUUAGUGGUGUAGGGGUAAAAUCCGUAGAUAUCACUAGGAAUACCGAAAGCGAAGGCGAUCUCCUGGAACAUUACUGACGCUAAGGCGUGAAAGCGUGGGGAGCAAACAGGAUUAGAUACCCGAGUAGUC